Long non-coding RNA from Cydia pomonella (codling moth), 1187 nucleotides. RefSeq lists it as uncharacterized. NCBI's taxonomy places the organism in Eukaryota, Metazoa, Arthropoda, Insecta, Lepidoptera, Tortricidae. The transcript has 7 exons. The record is from RefSeq and is a predicted model, not a curated record.
UUGUAAUAUGCCCAGUUACAUUGAAAAUAAACUAUCUUUAUCUUAUCUUUAUGAACACGUAUGAUUUUAGCUCACUCAAGUUGCCACCAAGGGCACUGGGAAGAAGUUAAGCACAUUUAUCUAUAAAAAGCUGUCCGAAAAAUUGGAGGGGGAAGAUGUAGAUCAUGAAGCAUUACAGCUGGUUUGUAAAUUUAAUUUAUAUCAUGAAAAUAAUUCUCUAAAAAAAAGAAAAAAGAAUGUAAAUAAAAAAAAAACAAGAUUUUAUCUUUAAAUAAGUACCUACCAUAUAUACGAUAUACAUAAUGGAUAUAUUCUGAAAUAUUACGAUGCUGGCGAUAUUUCCUCGUUGUAUCGCAUCACUGAUAGUUGUGCGAGGAAGCCGCCAGCUUUUUGGUCACCAGUUACGUCAACCAGACGUUUCGCAAUUUCUUAUACCUAGGUAGGUACGUUUCGGGUUAUUAAAAUAAUAUAGGUAUAUUAUUUUACAGCACAUAUGGUGCUACUUUAACGCACUAGUGCAAUAAUCAGCACAUUACGAAACUAUGUCGAAAGUUUAUAGGGCCAUAUGUACUGUAAAACAUUGUACGAUACAUGUGCGAAUAGGUAAUUCGCAACUCGUGUCGAUUUAAUUCAAUUUAUUACUACUCGUUUCGAAUUUACUAUUUUUCGCACUUGUAUCGUAAUGUACUGUUUUUGUGAUCAGGAAUUAAUUUAAGUUUUAUCUAAUUUAUUAUAUUGUAGGUGGCAUUAGUAACGGCGAAUGAAGUAUCAAGGAGGGGAGUUGCAAAACUAGAGGCACGAUCAAAUAAUCAACCAAAGGCACAAUAUAAGCCGCAGCGUCCGUCACAAGGAUAUCAGGAGGAGCUCUCCAACCACGAAUACGGGAAACCGUCGUCGAAAAAGACGUUGUGCAUCUUCACACCACCCAAGGAGUACUGCGUAGUUCAGAUGAAGGACUCGUCCAGAACGGACCAGGAGGAACUUAACCCGCCUGAUGACGGCGUUUCCGACGACGAUAAUGAACGUGUUUCCGACGACGCCGUUGCAGAUGACUCUGAUGAUGAUGAUGGCAGUCCGAAUUAUAUCAAUGGGUAGACUAAAGGAUGUUUCACGUCAUCAGUAACAUAAUAGCACAUAUGUUUCUGCACAAUAAACUCAAUAAUUCGGAUUAAAUCUUCUUAUUAAAA